RNAcentral lists this unclassified non-coding RNA (255 nucleotides) under fungal sp. RNAcentral's name for it is "partial internal transcribed spacer region". The stretch from base 1 to 45 matches the Rfam family "Eukaryotic small subunit ribosomal RNA", at positions 1787 to 1831 of the family's 1831-position model. The record is from RNAcentral. Lineage: Eukaryota; Fungi.
AGUCGUAACAAGGUAUCCGUAGGUGAACCUGCGGAUGGAUCAUUACCAAAUAUCCAUAACUUACGUACUGUGAACUUGUUUUGACCAACAGUCAGUCGUGGAAGGCAUCUCACUCUCUAUAACCUGUGAGUGGGUGUCCAAAGUGGCUGGCUGUACCCCAAAAUACUAAACGUAUAUACUAUAAUCUACUAUUAACUGACGUGAACAAGUUAUUCAAACUAAAAACAACUUUUAGCAAUGGAUCUCUUGGCUCUC